AACGAACGCUGGCGGCGCGCCUAAUACAUGCAAGUCGAGCGAGAAGGUGUAGCAAUACACUUGUAAAGCGGCGAACGGGUGAGGAAUACAUGGGUAAUCUACCAUCGAGUGGGGAAUAACCAGCCGAAAGGUUGGCUAAUACCGCGUACGCUUCCGAGUCUUCGGGCUUGGAAGGAAAGCCGCACUGUGAGUGCGGCGCUCUUUGAUGAGCUCAUGUCCUAUCAGCUUGUUGGUAGGGUAACGGCCUACCAAGGCUUUGACGGGUAGCUGGUCUGAGAGGACGAUCAGCCACACUGGCACUGCGACACGGGCCAGACUCCUACGGGAGGCAGCAGUAAGGAAUAUUGCGCAAUGGGCGAAAGCCUGACGCAGCGACGCCGCGUGGGGGAUGAAGGUCUUCGGAUUGUAAACCCCUUUCGGGAGGGAGAUGGAGCGAGCAAUCGUUCGGACGGUACCUCCAGAAGCAGCCACGGCCAACUUCGUGCCAGCA
RNAcentral lists this ribosomal RNA (490 nucleotides) under uncultured bacterium. Its description in RNAcentral is "bacterial SSU rRNA". It matches the Rfam family "Bacterial small subunit ribosomal RNA", at positions 29 to 513 of the family's 1533-position model. The record is from RNAcentral.